Small nucleolar RNA from Juglans microcarpa x Juglans regia, 97 nucleotides. RefSeq annotates it as small nucleolar RNA snoR31/Z110/Z27. The transcript has a single exon. NCBI's taxonomy places the organism in Eukaryota, Viridiplantae, Streptophyta, Magnoliopsida, Fagales, Juglandaceae. The record is from RefSeq and is a predicted model, not a curated record.
AUCAUCAAGAUGAUGAAUUCAGAAAAAAUCUUAGGACACCUUCUGAAACAGCACGAGCGUGCUGUUUAUGAGAAAGAUUUUUAUGUUUUCUGAUAAU